GAGGAGAGACUCUAGGGCCCUGCGACACGAAAAGUCACGCAACGAAGUUCACUUUAUUACUUUAGGAAAGCAGCACCGAGGCACGAUACAUCGCGAUCAACGUGCGUCACGCACGAUGUAAUGAGCUGACACCCUAAUCACAACAUGACUGGCCACCUCGUUGUGACCUUCCAGCGGGUCUUCUCGCCCUUCAUCCAAAAGCAAAUCUCCCUCAUCAGCAGCGCCACCACAGCUCCCAUGUGAACGCCGAAAUCGAUGAUAUCCUAGAUGCGGCACGAAGCAGCUUGAUCUCGACCUCGGUGGCCGCUUGCGCUGCGCGGGAAACAUCGCAACUCCCCGAAGACGCCUGAAGGAAAGGGAGAGGAGACAAAGAGCUCGAUCGAAGCAGCCUAACAGGUGGCAAUGUGAUCGCCUCAUCGGCGACGACUACCCUACAGCAAAAGGAGAAAGGGGGAAAAUAUCAAAGCUUGAGAAGGGGCUGGAUAAACUCAUAGGAGGAAACUUACCUUGACCAUGGCCCAUGGAACGCGACAGCCCAAGCAACCCGAGAUCUGUCAAACAACCCGGUCAGAGGUACGCUCAAGAAGAGGCCAAAGGAC
RNAcentral lists this long non-coding RNA (599 nucleotides) under Zea mays. RNAcentral's name for it is "long non-coding RNA (ZMAY_LNC002666)". The record is from RNAcentral. Lineage: Eukaryota; Viridiplantae; Streptophyta; Magnoliopsida; Poales; Poaceae.